Dendrobium catenatum is the source of this 89-nucleotide small nucleolar RNA. RefSeq annotates it as small nucleolar RNA Z102/R77. The transcript has a single exon. NCBI's taxonomy places the organism in Eukaryota, Viridiplantae, Streptophyta, Magnoliopsida, Asparagales, Orchidaceae. The record is from RefSeq and is a predicted model, not a curated record.
GAGUGGAGAUGAUGAACAGUAAAUUAUUUCCUUAUUGGUUUGAUUACCAAUAUGAUGGCUAAAAUUUUAUUAGCUCUAUCUGAUCGCUC